RNAcentral lists this small nuclear RNA (19 nucleotides) under Arabidopsis thaliana (thale cress). Its description in RNAcentral is "snRNA_15441". Lineage: Eukaryota; Viridiplantae; Streptophyta; Magnoliopsida; Brassicales; Brassicaceae. The record is from RNAcentral.
GGACUUUGAAAAGAGAGUC